GCUUUGUAACUCCGUUCGAUCUGGCAUUGAGAAUGGCCGGGCCAUUUCUCGUUGAACGCGAAAUAGAUCCUUCUGAAGACACGCUGGGUGGAGCACUGAUGAUCCGGCUCCUGCUCGAGCUACCUGACCAACAUAGUCAUUUCAAAACAAUAGUCGAACAUCCGUCGAUAGGCGAGGCUCUAUGGAUGACUAUUCGAGAGCUACGGAUGGCGGGAAUCAGUUCGCGCGAACUCGAGAGCAAGACCUUUGGCUCUGCGUCAAAGAAGGGCGAGCUCACGGGACUGCUUACCGCAUA
RNAcentral lists this unclassified non-coding RNA (295 nucleotides) under uncultured fungus. RNAcentral's name for it is "sequence contains 18S rRNA gene, ITS1, 5.8S rRNA gene, ITS2, 28S rRNA gene". The record is from RNAcentral. Lineage: Eukaryota; Fungi.